UGGCAGACGGGUGAGGAGCACGUACCUGACCUGACACACGGAGGGGGAUAGUCCCCCGAAAGGGGGUUGAAUACCGCGUACGCUCGUCAAGGCAGCUUGAUGAGGAGAGGUGGCCUCUGCAUGCACGCUAUCGCCGUGUGAGGGGGGCGCGUCCUAUUAGCUGGCUGGUGGGGUAAUGGCCUACCAGGGCGACGAUGGGUCGCUGGUCUGAGAGGAUGAUCAGCCACACUGGGACUGAGACACGGCCCAGACUCCUACGGGAGGCAGCAGCGGGGAAUUUUGCGCAAUGGGGGGAACCCUGACGCAGCAACGCCGUGUGAGUGACGACGCCGUUCGCGGUGUAAAGCUCUGUGAGGCGGGACGGAGGCUCCGGGUGAAGAACCUGCGAGGGUGACGGUACCGCCACAGCAAGCCCCGGCUAACUCCGUGCCAGCAGCCGCGGUAAGACGGAGGGGGCGAGCGUUGUUCGGAAUUACUGGGCGUAAAGCGCCCGCAGGCGGUGACGUGAGUGUUUCGUGAAAGCCCCCGGCUCAACCGGGGACGGGCGAAGCAGACUGCGUGACUUGAGUGCUGGAGGGGGAGGCGGAAUUCCUGGUGGAGCGGUGAAAUGCGUAGAGAUCAGGAAGAACGUCAGUGGCGAAGGCGGCCUCCUGGACAGACACUGACGCUGAGGGGCGAGAGCGUGGGGAGCGAACGGGAUUAGAUACCCCGGUAGUCCACGCCGUAAACACUGGGCACUAUGUAUGGGGGUGGAGAUCACUUCCGUGCAGGAGCUAACGCAGUAAGUGCCCUGCUUGGGGAGUACGGUCGCAAGGCUGAAACUCAAGAGGAAUUGACAGGGGGCCACGCACGAAGCGGUGGAGCAUGUGGUUUAAUUAGACGCAACGCGCAGUACCUUACCUGGGUUUGACAU
This 913-nucleotide ribosomal RNA is filed under the name uncultured organism. Its description in RNAcentral is "bacterial SSU rRNA". It matches the Rfam family "Bacterial small subunit ribosomal RNA", at positions 96 to 987 of the family's 1533-position model. The record is from RNAcentral.